RNAcentral lists this ribosomal RNA (465 nucleotides) under Vreelandella stevensii. RNAcentral describes it as "partial 16S ribosomal RNA". It matches the Rfam family "Bacterial small subunit ribosomal RNA", at positions 338 to 795 of the family's 1533-position model. The record is from RNAcentral. Lineage: Bacteria; Pseudomonadati; Pseudomonadota; Gammaproteobacteria; Oceanospirillales; Halomonadaceae.
CCUACGGGAGGCAGCAGUGGGGAAUAUUGGACAAUGGGGGGAUCCCUGAUCCAGCCAUGCCGCGUGUGUGAAGAAGGCCCUCGGGUUGUAAAGCACUUUCAGUGAGGAAGAACGCCUGGUGGUUAAUACCCAUCAGGAAAGACAUCACUCACAGAAGAAGCACCGGCUAACUCCGUGCCAGCAGCCGCGGUAAUACGGAGGGUGCGAGCGUUAAUCGGAAUUACUGGGCGUAAAGCGCGCGUAGGUGGCUUGAUAAGCCGGUUGUGAAAGCCCCGGGCUCAACCUGGGAACGGCAUCCGGAACUGUCAAGCUAGAGUGCAGGAGAGGAAGGUAGAAUUCCCGGUGUAGCGGUGAAAUGCGUAGAGAUCGGGAGGAAUACCAGUGGCGAAGGCGGCCUUCUGGACUGACACUGACACUGAGGUGCGAAAGCGUGGGUAGCAAACAGGAUUAGAUACCCUAGUAGUC